RNAcentral lists this ribosomal RNA (468 nucleotides) under uncultured bacterium. RNAcentral's name for it is "partial 16S ribosomal RNA". It matches the Rfam family "Bacterial small subunit ribosomal RNA", at positions 28 to 507 of the family's 1533-position model. The record is from RNAcentral.
GACGAACGCUGGCGGCGUGCUUAACACAUGCAAGUCGAACGGAAAGGCCCUGCUUUUGUGGGGUGCUCGAGUGGCGAACGGGUGAGUAACACGUGAGUAACCUGCCCUUGACUUUGGGAUAACUUCAGGAAACUGGGGCUAAUACCGGAUAGGAGCUCCUGCUGCAUGGUGUGGGUUGGAAAGUUUCGGCGGUUGGGGAUGGACUCGCGGCUUAUCAGCUUGUUGGUGGGGUAGUGGCUUACCAAGGCUUUGACGGGUAGCCGGCCUGAGAGGGUGACCGGCCACAUUGGGACUAAGAUACGGCCCAGACUCCUACGGGAGGCAGCAGUGGAGAAUAUGGCACAAUGGGCGGAAGCCUGAUGCAGCAACGCCGCGUGCGGGAGGACGGCCUUCGGGUUGUAAACCGCUUUCGACUGUGACGAAGCGUGAGUGACGGUAAUGGGUAAAGAAGCACCGGCUAAAUACGUG